CAAACGGCCCUUUUAAGGGUCACCUUCCUAAAAUUUAAUUAUUUU
Non-coding RNA from Macrostomum lignano, 45 nucleotides. The record is from Rfam. Lineage: Eukaryota; Metazoa; Platyhelminthes; Macrostomidae.